UGUCUGCAACUUUGUACUCCUGCCUAGCCAGAAGAAUCUUAUGCUGCAGAGUUUUAUCACUUUUCUGUGAAUGUUUAGCCUUUAUAUAGAAAAUAUUAUCAGUGCUUGCUUUAAAUGAAACAAACAUUAUUUCCAUAUGCAGGUAUGAGGAUCAAUUGCCCCUUGGGAAUU
Etheostoma spectabile (orangethroat darter) is the source of this 171-nucleotide long non-coding RNA. RefSeq lists it as uncharacterized. The transcript has 3 exons. The record is from RefSeq and is a predicted model, not a curated record. NCBI's taxonomy places the organism in Eukaryota, Metazoa, Chordata, Actinopteri, Perciformes, Percidae.